This 312-nucleotide ribosomal RNA is filed under the name Triticum aestivum (bread wheat). RNAcentral's name for it is "partial small subunit ribosomal RNA". The record is from RNAcentral. Lineage: Eukaryota; Viridiplantae; Streptophyta; Magnoliopsida; Poales; Poaceae.
AUGGUUUUUAUUAAUCAGGUAUCCAUUCACCAUCGUAAGCUGACAAACAGAGAAUGGAAGUGUAUCGAGGAUCGGUUUGAGAAGAAACUGAGUUGCUGGAAGGGCAAACUCAUGUCAUAUGGAGGCCGAUUGAUUCUGAUUAAUUCGGUGCUCACGAGUAUGCCAAUGUUUCUCUUAUCUUUUUUCGAAGUCCUAGUUGGUGUUAGGAAAAGGUUGGACUUCUAUCGAUCCCGAUUCUUCUGGCAAAGUGAUGAACUAAAGAGAAAAUACAGACUUGCCAAAUGGGAUAUCAUAUGUCGACCAAAGGACUAG